RNAcentral lists this transfer RNA (64 nucleotides) under Gandalfus yunohana. Its description in RNAcentral is "tRNA-Arg". Lineage: Eukaryota; Metazoa; Arthropoda; Malacostraca; Decapoda; Bythograeidae. The record is from RNAcentral.
AAUUAGAAAGCGAAUUAUUGCAUCUAGUUUCGACCUAGAUUUUGGCUUACUUAGCCUCUAAUUA